AAGGAGAUCAUUUUCAUUCGAAGGAGAGAGAAAGGGCAGAUAAUUGGACUAGAGUUAAACUUCUCCUUUUGUCCAUAGGACAAAAAAAAAAUUUAAAUAAUAAACAAAAUUCCAAUGUUCUUUUAUUUUCUUAUUUUUGUAUUUUUAGUGGAAUACCAACUUCAUGUACACUUGGCUUAUUCAGCACCCAUAAAAUUCAAUGGACCACCAUCCGGACAAAAGGAUAAAAACAGAACACAUCAAGAUAAUGAAUUUUCUUCAAACUACUGAGGUACAAUGAAAAAUGGAAAUAUUAUCUCAGAAAUUACAACAGAGGGAUGAAGAUAUAGCAUAUGCUGUACCUAAAAGAUACAUCAAAUGGGAUAUUGGGAAUAUGGAUUGAUGAAAUUUAAUUUACGAUUGUCCUAUAAUGCCUUUUCAUUACAGUACCACACAAAUUGAGGCAAUAAAUGUAUAUUUGAUCAAAAAAGUAUGGCCACUCGUCUUUUAACCAAAUAGAUUGCAAAUGUCAUUAGAAUUCAGAUUCUACGAGGCAGGAAAGAAGUGUUUUGACUAGAGACAAGGGCAGAUGGAAUAAGAGAGCCAGGCAUUCAGCAGGAAUUUAAUUUGUAUUGGCUUAGACAAGGCUGUGCAAUCUAGUCUCCUUUCUAUAUUUAUUUAAAGUGAUACAUCUUCUUUCAGUAUAUCUGAUUUUCUAAUAACAGUAGGACUAACAAAUGUUAC
RNAcentral lists this long non-coding RNA (723 nucleotides) under Pan troglodytes (chimpanzee). Its description in RNAcentral is "lncRNA (ENSPTRG00000054484.1)". The record is from RNAcentral. Lineage: Eukaryota; Metazoa; Chordata; Mammalia; Primates; Hominidae.